This 371-nucleotide ribosomal RNA is filed under the name uncultured Sphingobacteriales bacterium. RNAcentral's name for it is "bacterial SSU rRNA". It matches the Rfam family "Bacterial small subunit ribosomal RNA", at positions 1009 to 1382 of the family's 1533-position model. The record is from RNAcentral. Lineage: Bacteria; Pseudomonadati; Bacteroidota; Sphingobacteriia; Sphingobacteriales.
UUACAUCUCUUCGGAGCAUUUUACGAGGUGCUGCAUGGUUGUCGUCAGCUCGUGCCGUGAGGUGUCGGGUUAAGUCCCAUAACGAGCGCAACCCUACCUUUAGUUGCCAUCAGGUAAUGCUGGGGACUCUAAAGGAACUGCCUACGCAAGUAGUGAGGAAGGCGGGGAUGACGUCAAAUCAGCACGGCCCUUACGUCCAGGGCUACACACGUGCUACAAUGGCCGAUACAGAGGGCAGCUACCUGGUGACAGGAUGCAAAUCUCCAAAGUCGGUCUCAGUUCGGAUCGGAGUCUGCAACCCGACUCCGUGAAGUUGGAUUCGCUAGUAAUCGCGCAUCAGCCAUGGCGCGGUGAAUACGUUCCCGGGCCUU